GACGAACGCUGGCGGCGUGCUUAACACAUGCAAGUCGAACGGAAAGGCCCUGCUUUUGUGGGGUGCUCGAGUGGCGAACGGGUGAGUAACACGUGAGUAACCUGCCCUUGACUUUGGGAUAACUUCAGGAAACUUGGGCUAAUACCGGAUAGGAGCUCCUGCUGCAUGGUGGGGGUUGGAAAGUUUCGGCGGUUGGGGAUGGACUCGCGGCUUAUCAGCUUGUUGGUGGGGUAGUGGCUUACCAAGGCUUUGACGGGUAGCCGGCCUGAGAGGGUGACCGGCCACAUUGGGACUGAGAUGCGGCCCAGACUCCUACGGGAGGCAGAAGUGGGGAAUAUUGCACAAUGGGCGGAAGCCUGAUGCAGCAACGCCGCGUGCGGGAUGACGGCCUUCGGGUUGUAAACCGCUGUCGCCUGUGACGAAGCGUGAGUGACGGUAAUGGGUAAAGAAGCACCGGCUAACUACGUG
This 468-nucleotide ribosomal RNA is filed under the name uncultured bacterium. RNAcentral describes it as "partial 16S ribosomal RNA". It matches the Rfam family "Bacterial small subunit ribosomal RNA", at positions 28 to 507 of the family's 1533-position model. The record is from RNAcentral.